RNAcentral lists this ribosomal RNA (253 nucleotides) under uncultured bacterium. RNAcentral's name for it is "partial 16S ribosomal RNA". It matches the Rfam family "Bacterial small subunit ribosomal RNA", at positions 524 to 776 of the family's 1533-position model. The record is from RNAcentral.
UACGGGGGGGGCAAGCGUUGUUCGGAAUUACUGGGCGUAAAGGGCUCGUAGGCGGCCAACUAAGUCGGACGUGAAAUCCCCAGGCUUAACUUGGGAACUGCGUCCGAUACUGAAAGGCUUGAAUCCGGGAGAGGGAUGUGGAAUUCCAGGUGUAGCGGUGAAAUGCGUAGAUAUCUGGAGGAACACCGGUGGCGAAGGCGGCAUCCUGGACCGGCAUUGACGCUGAGGCGCGAAAGCUAGGGGAGCAAACGGG